GUGGAGUGAUUUUAGGAGAACAUCGUGGAAGUUGGGGUGAUGAGUAGUGUUUGUGCCAAAUUUGGUCACUAGGAACUAAGAUAAUCGGUUUUUGGGUUUUUGGGUUGUUUUCUCAUUAUCUGCUUCAGUUUCAGUCAGCAUUCUUUUCACUUUUUUUUGCUCUUGGUGCCAAAUUUUCACUAAGACUUUGAGUACCUCUC
RNAcentral lists this long non-coding RNA (200 nucleotides) under Gossypium raimondii (Peruvian cotton). Its description in RNAcentral is "long non-coding RNA (GRAI_LNC002125)". Lineage: Eukaryota; Viridiplantae; Streptophyta; Magnoliopsida; Malvales; Malvaceae. The record is from RNAcentral.